Molecule: transfer RNA, 71 nt
Filed under: Marmota marmota marmota (Alpine marmot)
Lineage: Eukaryota; Metazoa; Chordata; Mammalia; Rodentia; Sciuridae
Also listed under: 1 other name
Rfam family: tRNA
About the family: Transfer RNA (tRNA) molecules are approximately 80 nucleotides in length.
Source: Rfam by way of RNAcentral
GUGGCUGUGGCUCAGUGGUAGAGCGCUUGCCUUGCAUGCAUGGGGCACUGGGUUUGAUCCUCAGCACCACA